This 460-nucleotide ribosomal RNA is filed under the name uncultured bacterium. RNAcentral describes it as "partial 16S ribosomal RNA". It matches the Rfam family "Bacterial small subunit ribosomal RNA", at positions 338 to 795 of the family's 1533-position model. The record is from RNAcentral.
CCUACGGGUGGCAGCAGUGAGGAAUAUUGGUCAAUGGACGAGAGUCUGAACCAGCCAAGUAGCGUGAAGGAUGACUGCCCUAUGGGUUGUAAACUUCUUUUAUAAAGGAAUAAAACGAGGCACGUGUGCCUUUUUGCAUGUACUUUAUGAAUAAGGAUCGGCUAACUCCGUGCCAGCAGCCGCGGUAAUACGGAGGAUCCGAGCGUUAUCCGGAUUUAUUGGGUUUAAAGGGAGCGUAGACGGGUUGUUAAGUCAGUUGUGAAAGUUUGCGGCUCAACCGUAAAAUUGCAAUUGAUACUGGCAGUCGUGAGUACAGUAGAGGUAGGCGGAAUUCGUGGUGUAGCGGUGAAAUGCUUAGAUAUCACGAAGAACCCCGAUUGCGAAGGCAGCUUACUAAACUGUGACUGACAUUGAUGCUCGAAAGUGUGGGUAUCAAACAGGAUUAGAUACCCGAGUAGUC